This is a long non-coding RNA of Myotis lucifugus (little brown bat), 218 nucleotides long. RefSeq lists it as uncharacterized. Lineage: Eukaryota; Metazoa; Chordata; Mammalia; Chiroptera; Vespertilionidae. The record is from RefSeq and is a predicted model, not a curated record. The transcript is spliced from 3 exons.
GGAAUCAAUGGGAAAAACAUAUUCACUCCUCAGAUACAGCUUUCCCAGCCACUUUGCAUCUAUAUAUUAGUUUUUGCCCUAUCAUCACCAGAUCAAGGAGGAGGGUUAAACAGUUUAAGAUGAGAAAAGUUGAUCUCUGUUUGAGCUCUGAAGGGACGGAAGUGAUUUUAGCUACAUCGAGUGAUGAAAAACACCCCCCUGAAAAUAUAAUUGAUGGG